RNAcentral lists this ribosomal RNA (253 nucleotides) under uncultured bacterium. Its description in RNAcentral is "partial 16S ribosomal RNA". It matches the Rfam family "Bacterial small subunit ribosomal RNA", at positions 524 to 776 of the family's 1533-position model. The record is from RNAcentral.
UACGUAGGGUGCAAGCGUUGUCCGGAAUUAUUGGGCGUAAAGAGCGUGUAGGCGGCUAGGUAGGUCCGUUGUGAAAACUCGAGGCUCAACCUCGAGACGCCGGUGGAAACCAUCUAGCUAGAGUCCGGAAGAGGAGAGUGGAAUUCCUGGUGUAGCGGUGAAAUGCGCAGAUAUCAGGAAGAACACCCGUGGCGAAGGCGGCUCUCUGGGACGUGACUGACGCUGAGACGCGAAAGCGUGGGGAGCGAACAGG